GAGUAGUCAACAAACCCCAAACGUAACACGAGGUUGAAGACAAAGGAACCUUCUUCUAUCCAUGCUACGGAUGAGUAGUCAACAAACCCCAAACGUAACACGAGGUUGAAGACAAAGGAACCUUCUUCUAUCCAUGCUACGGAUGAGUAGUCAACAAACCCCAAACGUAACACGAGGUUGAAGACAAAGGAACCUUCUUCUAUCCAUGCUACGGAUGAGUAGUCAACAAACCCCAAACGUAACACGAGGUUGAAGACAAAGGAACCUUCUUCUAUCCAUGCUACGGAUGAGUAGUCAACAAACCCCAAACGUAACACGAGGUUGAAGACAAAGGAACCUUCUUCUAUCCAUGCUACGGAUGAGUAGUCAACAAACCCCAAACGUAACACGAGGUUGAAGACAAAGGAACCUUCUUCUAUCCAUGCUACGGAUGAGUAGUCAACAAACCCCAAACGUAACACGAGGUUGAAGACAAAGGA
Molecule: long non-coding RNA, 479 nt
Organism: Oncorhynchus keta (chum salmon)
Lineage: Eukaryota; Metazoa; Chordata; Actinopteri; Salmoniformes; Salmonidae
Exons: 3
Source: RefSeq, a predicted model, not a curated record